Molecule: ribosomal RNA, 433 nt
Filed under: uncultured bacterium
Lineage: Bacteria
Description: partial 16S ribosomal RNA
Rfam family: Bacterial small subunit ribosomal RNA
Source: RNAcentral
AACGAACGCUGGCGGCAUGCCUAACACAUGCAAGUCGAACGAGACCUUCGGGUCUAGUGGCGCACGGGUGCGUAACGCGUGGGAACCUGCCCUUAGGUUCGGAAUAACUCCCCGAAAGGGGUGCUAAUACCGGGUAAUGUCUUCGGACCAAAGGUUUAUCGCCUUUGGAUGGGCCCGCGUUGGAUUAGCUAGUUGGUAGGGUAAAAGCCUACCAAGGCGACGAUCCAUAGCUGGUCUGAGAGGAUGAUCAGCCACACUGGGACUGAGACACGGCCCAGACUCCUACGGGAGGCAGCAGUGGGGAAUAUUGGACAAUGGGCGAAAGCCUGAUCCAGCAAUGCCGCGUGAGUGAUGAAGGCCUUAGGGUUGUACAGCGCUUUUACCCGGGAUGAUAAUGACAGUACCGGGAGAAUAAGCUCCGGCUAACUCCGUG